RNAcentral lists this transfer RNA (71 nucleotides) under Poropanchax normani. Its description in RNAcentral is "tRNA-Tyr". It matches the Rfam family "tRNA". Rfam says of the family: Transfer RNA (tRNA) molecules are approximately 80 nucleotides in length. Their secondary structure includes four short double-helical elements and three loops (D, anti-codon, and T loops). Lineage: Eukaryota; Metazoa; Chordata; Actinopteri; Cyprinodontiformes; Procatopodidae. The record is from RNAcentral.
GGUAAGAUGGCUGAGUGUCCAAGCGGUGGUUUGUAGCUCCAUAAACAAAGGUUUAAGUCCUUUUCUUGCCA